GCCCAGUACKAAUAUUGGAAGUUGAGUUUAAAGCAUCACACCAUGACUAAAACUAACUGAUUUUGAAAAGACAUAAACUAAAACUCUCACAUCAACAGAAACAGGAAGUUCUGAUGUUACUCUCAUUUCUUCUGAUCCACAGCGUAUAUCUUGGAGAAACUCCACAACUGUUGCUUCUUUGAUGAGGAGGUUCAGCCCUCCAUGUUCUUCCUAACGCUGCACGACGCCAUGCUGCACAUUUUGGAGAAACAUCCAGAGACGACAGAAAGGAAAGCAGACCGGGAUAAGAUACUGACAACAGUGACGGUCCACCAUCCGAGUGGAAAUCUGAGGAGCAGAGAUAAAAAUGGUCCAGUUCCAGCUGCAGAGACCAAGUUCUAACCGGGACAGAAGAGGAAAUCAAAAAACRAAACGG
Non-coding RNA from Poecilia reticulata (guppy), 415 nucleotides. NCBI's taxonomy places the organism in Eukaryota, Metazoa, Chordata, Actinopteri, Cyprinodontiformes, Poeciliidae. The record is from RefSeq and is a predicted model, not a curated record.